RNAcentral lists this ribosomal RNA (496 nucleotides) under uncultured bacterium. Its description in RNAcentral is "partial 16S ribosomal RNA". It matches the Rfam family "Bacterial small subunit ribosomal RNA", at positions 29 to 507 of the family's 1533-position model. The record is from RNAcentral.
AUGAACGCUGGCGGCGUGCCUAAUACAUGCAAGUCGAGCGAACGGACGAGAAGCUUGCUUCUCUGAUGUUAGCGGCGGACGGGUGAGUAACACGUGGAUAACCUACCUAUAAGACUGGGAUAACUUCGGGAAACCGGAGCUAAUACCGGAUGAUAUUUUGAACCGCAUGGUUCAAAAGUGAAAGACGGUCUUGCUGACACUUAUAGAUGGAUCCGCGCUGCAUUAGCUAGUUGGUAAGGUAACGGCUUACCAAGGCAACGAUGCAUAGCCGACCUGAGAGGGUGAUCGGCCACACUGGAACUGAGACACGGUCCAGACUCCUACGGGAGGCAGCAGUAGGGAAUCUUCCGCAAAGGGCGAAAGCCUGACGGAGCAACGCCGCGUGAGUGAUGAAGGUCUUCGGAUCGUAAAACUCUGUUAUUAGGGAAGAACAUAUGUGUAAGUAACUGUGCACAUCUUGACGGUACCUAAUCAGAAAGCCACGGCUAACUACGUG